GACGAACGCUGGCGGCGUGCUUAACACAUGCAAGUCGAACGAAGAGCGAUGGAAGCUUGCUUCUAUCAAUCUUAGUGGCGCACGGGUGAGUAACGCGUAAUCAACCUGCCCUUCAGAGGGGGACAACAGUUGGAAACGACUGCUAAUACCGCAUACGAUCUAAUCUCGGCAUCGAGGAUAGAUGAAAGGUGGCCCCUACAUGUAAGCUAUCACUGAAGGAGGGGAUUGCGUCUGAUUAGCUAGUUGGAGGGGUAACGGCCCACCAAGGCGAUGAUCAGUAGCCGGUCUGAGAGGAUGAACGGCCACAUUGGGACUGAGACACGGCCCAGACUCCUACGGGAGGCAGCAGUGGGGAAUCUUCCGCAAUGGACGAAAGUCUGACGGAGCAACGCCGCGUGAGUGAUGACGGCCUUCGGGUUGUAAAGCUCUGUUAAUCGGGACGAAAGGCCUUCUUGCGAAUAGUGAGAAGGAUUGACGGUACCGGAAGAGAAAGCCACGGCUAACUACGUG
This 510-nucleotide ribosomal RNA is filed under the name uncultured bacterium. RNAcentral describes it as "partial 16S ribosomal RNA". It matches the Rfam family "Bacterial small subunit ribosomal RNA", at positions 28 to 507 of the family's 1533-position model. The record is from RNAcentral.